CCUACGGGAGGCAGCAGUGAGGAAUAUUGGUCAAUGGACGAGAGUCUGAACCAGCCAAGUAGCGUGAAGGAUGACUGCCCUAUGGGUUGUAAACUUCUUUUAUAUGGGAAUAAAAUGUUCCACGUGUGGGCUUUUGUAUGUACCAUAUGAAUAAGGAUCGGCUAACUCCGUGCCAGCAGCCGCGGUAAUACGGAGGAUCCGAGCGUUAUCCGGAGUUAUUGGGUUUAAAGGGAGCGUAGGUGGAUUGUUAAGUCAGUUGUGAAAGUUUGCGGCUCAACCGUAAAAUUGCAGUUGAAACUGGCAGUCUUGAGUACAGUAGAGGUGGGCGGAAUUCGUGGUGUAGCGGUGAAAUGCUUAGAUAUCACGAAGAACACCGAUUGCGAAGGCAGCUCACUGGACUGCAACUGACACUGAGGCUCGAAAGUGUGGGUAUCAAACAGGAUUAGAUACCCUAGUAGUC
Molecule: ribosomal RNA, 460 nt
Filed under: uncultured bacterium
Lineage: Bacteria
Description: partial 16S ribosomal RNA
Rfam family: Bacterial small subunit ribosomal RNA
Source: RNAcentral